Non-coding RNA from Xylaria castorea, 105 nucleotides. The record is from the annotation of a GenBank genome assembly. Lineage: Eukaryota; Fungi; Ascomycota; Sordariomycetes; Xylariales; Xylariaceae.
GGCCUCGUGGCCCAAUGGCAAGGCGUCUGACUACGAGAGAAUUCGCUAAUGAGUUGAAUUCUUAAAGCAAUCAGGAGAUUCUGGGUUCGACCCCCAGCGAGGUCA